This 295-nucleotide unclassified non-coding RNA is filed under the name uncultured Ascomycota. RNAcentral describes it as "sequence contains ITS1". The stretch from base 1 to 105 matches the Rfam family "5.8S ribosomal RNA", at positions 50 to 154 of the family's 154-position model. Lineage: Eukaryota; Fungi; Ascomycota. The record is from RNAcentral.
GAAAUGCGAUAAGUAAUGUGAAUUGCAGAAUUCAGUGAAUCAUCGAAUCUUUGAACGCACAUUGCGCCCCUUGGUAUUCCGAGGGGCAUGCCUGUUCGAGCGUCAUUACAACCCUCAAGCACUGCUUGGUGUUGGGCCUCGCCGGUCACCCGGCGGGCUCUAAAAUCAGUGGCGGCGCCGUCGGGCUCUGAGCGUAGUAAUUCUUCUCGCUACAGGGUCCCGGCGGAGGCUGGCCAGCAACCCCCAACUUUCUAUGGUUGACCUCGGAUCAGGUAGGGAUACCCGCUGAACUUAA